Homo sapiens (human) is the source of this 117-nucleotide non-coding RNA. It matches the Rfam family "Metazoan signal recognition particle RNA". Rfam says of the family: The signal recognition particle (SRP) is a universally conserved ribonucleoprotein. Lineage: Eukaryota; Metazoa; Chordata; Mammalia; Primates; Hominidae. The record is from Rfam.
GCCAGGCAUGGUGGCUCAUGCCUGUAAUCCCAGCACUUUGGGAGGCCGAGGCGGGGGGAUCACUUGAGCCCAGGAGUUCAAAACCAGCCUGAGCAACACAGUGAGACCCCAUCUCUA